RNAcentral lists this ribosomal RNA (443 nucleotides) under uncultured bacterium. Its description in RNAcentral is "partial 16S ribosomal RNA". It matches the Rfam family "Bacterial small subunit ribosomal RNA", at positions 338 to 795 of the family's 1533-position model. The record is from RNAcentral.
CCUACGGGUGGCAGCAGUGGGGAAUAUUGGGCAAUGGGCGCAAGCCUGACCCAGCAACGCCGCGUGAAGGAAGAAGGCUCUCGGGUUGUAAACUUCUUUUCUCAGGGACGAAACAAGUGACGGUACCUGAUGAAUAAGCCACGGCUAACUACGUGCCAGCAGCCGCGGUAAUACGUAGGUGGCAAGCGUUAUCCGGAUUUACUGGGUGUAAAGGGCGUGUAGGCGGGACUGCAAGUCAGAUGUGAAAUUCCAGGGCUCAACCUGUGGCCUGCAUUUGAAACUGUAGUUCUUGAGUACUGGAGAGGCAGGCGGAAUUCCGUGUGUAGCGGUGAAAUGCGUAGAUAUUAGGAGGAACACCAGUGGCGAAGGCGGUCUGCUGGACAUCAACUGACGCUGAGGCGCGAAAGCGUGGGGAGCAAACAGGAUUAGAUACCCUAGUAGUC